GCCGGCGGCGCGGGAGCCGGGCGCGGGAGCCGGGCGCCGGGCGCAGCAUGCCCCCUGCCCCUGCGCCAUGGAGCUCGCCUUGGUGCCCCUGGAGAACGGCGGUGCCAUGACCGUCAGAGGAGGAGGUGAGGCCCGGGCAGGCUGCGGCCAGGCCACAGGGGGAGAGCUCCAGUGUCCCCCGACGGCUGGGCUUAACGAUGGGCCCAAAGAGCCGGCGCCAACGGGGUGCGGCUCCCAGAGGGGCGCGGAGCCGGGAGGGCGGCCUUUGCCUCCGCUGCCGCUGCCGGAGGAGCCGCAGCCUAGACGGCCGCCUCCCGAGGCCGAGGAGGAGGAGGGAGACCCGGGCCUGAGCAUGGCGGAGGACCAGGCGCUGGGCGCGGCGUCCCUUCACCACCAGCGCGUACUCAUCAACAUCUCCGGGCUGCGCUUCGAGACGCAGCUGGGCACCCUGGCGCAGUUCCCCAACACCCUCCUGGGGGACCCGGCCAAGCGCCUGCGCUACUUCGACCCCCUGAGGAACGAGUACUUCUUCGACCGCAACCGGCCCAGCUUCGACGGCAUCCUCUACUACUACCAGUCCGGGGGCCGCCUGCGGAGGCCGGUCAACGUCUCCCUGGACGUGUUCGCGGACGAGAUCCGCUUCUACCAGCUGGGGGACGAGGCCAUGGAGCGCUUCCGGGAGGACGAGGGCUUCAUCAAAGAGGAGGAGAAACCCUUGCCCCGCAACGAGUUCCAGCGCCAGGUGUGGCUUAUCUUCGAGUACCCGGAAAGCUCGGGGUCGGCGCGAGCCAUCGCCAUUGUUUCGGUCUUGGUCAUCCUCAUCUCCAUCAUCACCUUCUGCCUGGAGACCCUGCCCGAGUUCAGGGACGAACGGGAGCUGCUCCGCCACCCGCCCGCACCGCCCCGGCCUCCAGCGCCCGCCCCGGGGGCCAAUGGCAGCGGGGGCAUGGCACCCCCCUCGGGUCCGACUGUGGCACCGCUGCUACCUAGGACCCUGGCGGACCCUUUCUUCAUCGUGGAGACCACGUGCGUCAUCUGGUUCACCUUCGAGCUGCUCGUGCGCUUCUUCGCCUGCCCCAGCAAGGCGGAGUUCUCGCGGAACAUCAUGAACAUCAUCGAUGUCGUGGCCAUCUUCCCCUACUUCAUCACCCUGGGCACCGAGCUGGCAGAGCAGCAGCCAGGUGGCGGGGGAGGGGGCGGCCAGAACGGGCAGCAGGCCAUGUCCCUGGCCAUCCUCAGAGUGAUCCGCCUGGUCCGGGUGUUCCGCAUCUUCAAGCUCUCCCGCCACUCCAAGGGGCUGCAGAUCCUGGGCAAGACCUUGCAGGCCUCCAUGAGGGAGCUGGGGCUGCUCAUCUUCUUCCUCUUCAUCGGGGUCAUCCUCUUCUCCAGUGCCGUCUACUUCGCAGAGGCUGACAACCAGGGGACCCACUUCUCCAGCAUCCCGGAUGCCUUCUGGUGGGCGGUAGUCACCAUGACCACUGUGGGCUAUGGUGACAUGAGGCCCAUCACUGUGGGGGGCAAGAUCGUGGGCUCGCUGUGUGCCAUCGCUGGGGUCCUCACCAUUGCCCUGCCUGUGCCCGUCAUCGUCUCCAACUUCAACUACUUCUACCACCGCGAGACGGACCACGAGGAGCAGGCAGCCCUUAAGGAAGAGCAAGGCAGUCAGAGCCAGGGCACCGGGCUGGACAGAGGAGGCCAGCGGAAGGCCAGCUGGAACAAGGGUUCCUUCUGCAAGACUGGUGGCUCCCUGGACAAUGCAGACAGUGCCCGAAGGGGCAGCUGUCCCCUAGAGAAGUGUAACCUCAAGGCCAAGAGCAACGUGGACUUGCGGAGGUCCCUGUAUGCCCUCUGCCUGGAUACCAGCCGGGAAACAGAUUUGUGAAGGGAGAUCCAGGCAGCCUGGUGGCAGUGGGGCGGGGAAGGCCAGGCCCGCUGGCUGUCUGCUUUAUACCGCAGAGUAUUGGAAGCCAUGUCGUAACCUUAUUCUGUCCCUGUCCUUUCACUCCUGCACUCCCUCCCUCCCCUGAUACCCCCAUUUUCCUCUUUUUUUCCAUGACACCAAGGGUCGCCUAUUUUUAAAAAGUACCAUAUUCCAUGACGCAGGAGCCGUUGAAAUGGUAUUUACUGUGAAGCAGGCGCCAAGCUAGGCUCUGAGACUAACUGGCAAGGAUCUUUCCUGAUUGGCUUUCCAGUUGAAUGGGGAGAAUCAACAAUCAAGCGAGCAAAUGAAGGAACUGACAAUUUUCAAGUCCAGGAAAUAAGCAGUGUUGUCCCUGGGGAGAUCCUGCUGCCUAGAGAGGAGGCACGGUCAGAGAAGGGGAGACGUUCGGGUGAAGGAAAAGAAGGCACGGAAUGCGGGACGGGGGUAGGGCGGGAACGCUGGGACUAUGGGGACACUAGUGGGAAGCCUGUGUUUUCUUGCGGAAGCAGAGGGCGGAAACCUUGGGCGGGGCUGGGGGCUGGGAAAAGCCAGGGACCGCUGGACUGCUCCAGGCAGGAUUGGCAAUCCCAGCGCCAGUCCUGCCCACUCGCCAUCAAGGAGCAGGAAGGUGGCCCUGCCGUUGCCGGCAGCACUCCCAAGAGACCAGUCUCCAAGAGUGGCACAGCACGUUUCUCCUGGAAGGCAAGCAGUGGGUUCAAAUCUGAUUUUUAAAAUUUAAUUUAAGGGGGUUGGGCAGGAAGAGGCCUCAGGCGUGCCUUGAUUGUUUAGCUAGCUAAGAGGACACCCCAGAGGACUCUGAGUCCAUGCCAGAAAACAGGGUGAGCAACCUGGGGCUGUGACUGCGCAGGCCCCGAGGGGAAAGGAGGGGUGAGGAGAAGCAAGGAGUCCCAGAGACCUGUUGCUCCUCACAACCGUUCUAAGACCAGAGACAGGAACUGGAGAAUCUGAGAGAGGCUGUGGGGGCCGAGAAGAGAGCGUGGGGACAGCUGAGCGUCUGUGUGCACAGGCCCAUGGCCUGGACGUUUGGAGUGAACACUCCCCCACGCUGGACAGGGCUUGGCUCAGGCCCCCACAAGCCUGAGCCUUCAGGGCUCUUUCAGGACCGGAGAGCUCUGGAGGACACUGGGGCUUCCCUUCAUCCUGCGCACACUGCCCCUCCUCCCAGUGGGCGCUGGGCCUUUUCCCCGCGUGUGGCCCCGGCUUUGGGAGGAGCUGGAGGGAGGCAGGUCUGUGCGGAGCUGGAGCCGGAGAUCAGCUCUGACCAGCCGGAGGUCGCCCAGCGCCGCGCCCCUCACUGCGCUCUGAGCAACCUCUCCUGCGUGACGGACGUCCUGUGCCGUGAGGAAGUCACUCCUGCCCCCUGCCCGUGUCUCGGAUGGGCUGGAAGAGCCCGUCAGCGCUACGUACUAAAGGGGUUCGGCGAUUGCAGCAACAUGAUAGAGCUUUCUGGCCCGAAUUGACUCCUCUUCUGACUUAAACCGCAACAUCCGUGGCCUUGCACGUUGAAUGCUGUCACUGCACAGUUGACAGAGAUGCUCCCUGGCAUCCAGGCAGCUGCAGGAGGCGGGUCCUGUUCCGACAGUUCCCCGUGCUCUGCCCUGGCUCCCCGUGCGUGCGUGCGUCCGGGUGGUGAGAACAUUGCUGUUAGCUGGGACUCCUCGGGUCAUGAAGAAGGAGAACUCCGUCGGCAAAGAUUCAGGGGAGUGUUUCAGAGGCUGAAGCAGAGCGGCAGGGUGGGGAUGGAAGGGAAGAUGGGCUGGAGAUAGAGCUGGGAGAUAGGAGAAGUUGGCAUUCUGGGCAAAAAUAUGUUGGUGAGGGAUAGAGUGACCACGUCUGGUCUGCCAAGGACAGCCAGGUGUACCUGCUGUUGAUCAGCGAUGUCUUAUUGUUUUUUAACACUCUAUGCCUCUCCUCUUCCAAAUGUCCCGGCUUGGAAGGUAAAUUAAAUGGUAUGAUGCUUCCCUGUAUGUAAUUGAAAAUAAAGACCUUACCAACCAAAAUAUGAAUUAAGAAAGUCCUCAAGAGUUCUAAUAUUUCCCUUAGUGAUUUAUUGAAACAUCAAAUGUCAAAAGUUUGAUGCCCCUGUGUAGCUAGUACCCCCAGCUCGGGUUUACUCUUCUUCUUGGAAAAUCCAGACCUCACCCAACCUCUCUCAUUCCCUGAAAUUGGCAGGGGAUCCCUCCCUGAGCUUUCCUGACCACAUCACUGGGCCAGAUCAUGGGUAAAGUCAGUUUUAGCUGGGUGGCUUUUUGGAGUGGGAAAUGGAUUCCAGAUGUUGUCAGCUGGUGGCCACCAUGGCAGACUUGGGUCUGAGCGGAGCUUGGAAUUUCCCAGAGCCAGACAGAGGCCUUUUCCAUGGCCUUGAAGGGGGCUGCUCUGAUGCCCUCCUCCCCCCACCCCCCGCCAAUGGGGUCUGGUUCACUGGGUCUUUUCUGGGAAAUAGUGAGAAGGCAAAGCUAGGAUUAAGUUUGAUGUGAAUUAGUGAUCAACUCAUCCUUGAUUCUGGGCCUGGGCCACCUUCAUACUCUGGGCUACAGAAGGGAUUUAGUGUAGACACUGUAUUUCAGAGAUGGUAGGGACUAGCUUGAAACAAAAGAACAAUAUAUGAUUCUUAUGAAAAGUGUAUAUUAAUGAGACCACUGAAUUGUAUGAUAAACAGUAUGUCAGUGAGGUCUGACCAUAACCUCAUUAGAACUUGUUUUAAGCAAACAUAUGUGUACUGGCCUUCAGGCAUAGAAAUAAACAAGUGUUCAAAGGGGUCACCUUGGAGAAGGCUAUGUACGUAACUAGGAAAUGUUGCAUGGAUCAAAACGUUUCAGAAUUCUCUUUUGGGAACAUAUUGAAGUUCAAUUUUUGGAGUUCACACAUACCCCCUUUUCAAAUGGCAAGUUCCCAUUGAACUUUAAGGGGCUAAGAGUCAUUCACACUUCAGUGUGAACUAGUUAAAUCAAAUGCAACUAACUAUAGCCUGACCCUCUAGGAAAUGGGAGUUUAAGCAGAAGGCUUGGGGAGGCAGCAUGGAAAUCUUGGCAGCUGAUGCUGGACAGCAGAGUGGGUUGCAGAAUUCUGAGGAGUGGGGAGCUGGGGGCUGCAGACAGCAGCUGGAGGGUGAGCUGUGCCCCGGGGUGGGGAGAAGACAGCAGGCCUGGGGCACGGUGCAGAGCGCGGAAGAGAGCAUUGCAUUGGGAAGGUGCGCAGAGCAGCCUGGAGCCAGCACAGGAGGCAGCCGCGGGUCAGUUCAGCGUUUUGGUUACGUGAGUGAGAUUUGGAGACAGGUAGAUCUGAGUUCAAAUCCUGAUUUCACCAUUCAUUAGCUAUGAGACCGAAUGCAAGCGAUACCUUUCCAAAUGGCCUGCUAUAAAGUCAUUGUUCCAACCAUAAAAUAAGGAUAGUAACAAGGCCUGCUCUCAGGUUGUCCCGGGACAAGUGCAGCAAACUACACAGACAUCGUCGGGCUGUCAGCCCUGAGGAGAGGUCAGUUACUGUGGUUGUUACUGCCACGUAAAGCUCCAGGAGAAAGGCUGGAGCAAGUCCUGCCCCUCCAAAAUGGGAGCGUCACCAAAUUUCAUUCAGUGAUGUUUACCAAGAGCUAACAUCACAGGUGCUAAGUUAGAGCUAUAGAUGUCAAAAUGUGAGCCAGAGGGAAUUGUUUUCCCACGAUCUACCAAGCAGCGCUAAGUGCACAAAUGGGCAAAACAGACAUGGAGGCGGGAAGGAGGUGCAAGG
Molecule: non-coding RNA, 5668 nt
Organism: Microcebus murinus (gray mouse lemur)
Lineage: Eukaryota; Metazoa; Chordata; Mammalia; Primates; Cheirogaleidae
Source: RefSeq, a predicted model, not a curated record